CAGUCGAACGGACUCAUAUUGAAACCUAGUGAUUUAUGAGUUAGUGGCGGACGGGUGAGUAACGCGUGGAUAACCUACCGUAUACCGGGGGAUAACACUUAGAAAUAGGUGCUAAUACCGCAUAAGCGCACGGCUCCGCAUGGGGCAGUGUGAAAAACUCCGGUGGUAUACGAUGGAUCCGCGUCUGAUUAGCUAGUUGGCGGGGUAACGGCCCACCAAGGCAGCGAUCAGUAGCCGGCCUGAGAGGGUGGACGGCCACAUUGGGACUGAGACACGGCCCAAACUCCUACGGGAGGCAGCAGUGGGGAAUAUUGCACAAUGGGGGAAACCCUGAUGCAGCGACGCCGCGUGAGUGAAGAAGUAUCUCGGUACGUAAAGCUCUAUCAGCAGGGAAGAAAAUGACGGUACCUGACUAAGAAGCCCCGGCUAACUACGUGCCAGCAGCCGCGGUAAUACGUAGGGGGCAAGCGUUAUCCGGAUUUACUGGGUGUAAAGGGAGCGUAGACGGCAGCACAAGUCUGGAGUGAAAUCCCGGGGCUUAACCCCGGAACUGCUUUGGAAACUGUGCGGCUGGAGUGCAGGAGGGGUAAGCGGAAUUCCUAGUGUAGCGGUGAAAUGCGUAGAUAUUAGGAGGAACACCGGUGGCGAAGGCGGCUUACUGGACUGUAACUGACGUUGAGGCUCGAAAGCGUGGGGAGCAAACAGGAUUAGAUACCCUGGUAGUCCACGCCGUAAACGAUGAUUACUAGGUGUCGGGGGAUCAAGGUCCUCCGGUGCCGGCGCAAACGCAUUAAGUAAUCCACCUGGGGAGUACGUUCGCAAGAAUGA
This 828-nucleotide ribosomal RNA is filed under the name uncultured bacterium. RNAcentral's name for it is "bacterial SSU rRNA". It matches the Rfam family "Bacterial small subunit ribosomal RNA", at positions 59 to 897 of the family's 1533-position model. The record is from RNAcentral.